Molecule: long non-coding RNA, 206 nt
Filed under: Elaeis guineensis (African oil palm)
Lineage: Eukaryota; Viridiplantae; Streptophyta; Magnoliopsida; Arecales; Arecaceae
Description: long non-coding RNA (EGUI_LNC061174)
Source: RNAcentral
ACUGGAUAGCAAAGAUCUUUCAAUAUUCAAGGUUCAUAUUCAGGUUCACCCAUGGUGGGCUUAAAGUCUACUAGACUCGAUGCAAAGUUUGGAUCUAUUCUCACUAAUCGAUCAGAUAUCUUUGUCCAAGAAGAAAUUUGAGAAUUUUUAGUUAUUUUUGUAAUUUUUUUUCUUAAGGGAAGAGGAAAGAGAGAUAGAUAAGAAAA